UGCACCYGGGGGGCGCGGGGACCCCCACGCCGCGCUGCUGCCACGGGACCCCACGGGCGCCGCUCUGCCUCCCGCCAGCCCCGGUGCCCAGGAGGAAGAUCGUGCGGGUGAAAGUGGUGAAGAAGAAGGUGGUGAAGAAGAAGCCCAAGGCGACGGCCGCCCCGCCGGAGCCAGGGCCUCAACUCCAUCUGGACGUACGACUGGGUCACGUCCUACAAGGUGCAGGUCAGCAACGACUCCCACGCCUGGCAGCCCUGCCGCAACGGGAGCCGGGAGGCGGUCUUCCCGGGCAACAAGGACCCCGAGACGCCGGUGCUGAACCUGCUGCCCGCCCCGGUCGUGGCGCGCUACAUCCGCAUCAACCCCCAGAGCUGGUUCGAGAACGGCACCAUCUGCCUCCGCGCGGAGAUCCUGGGCUGCCCGGUGCCGGACCCCAACAACAUCUACUACUGGCCCAGCGAGCCGCUGCCCACGGACGAGCUGGACUUCCGCCACCACAACUACGACGACAUGAGGAAGCUGAUGCGGCGGGUGGCGGAGGAGUGUCCCGACAUCACCCGCGUCUACAGCAUCGGCCGCAGCUACCUGGGCCUCAAGAUGUACGUCAUGGAGAUCUCCGACCACCCCGGGCACCACGAAGUGGGUAGGUGCC
This 652-nucleotide long non-coding RNA is filed under the name Dromaius novaehollandiae (emu). RNAcentral's name for it is "lncRNA (ENSDNVG00000010464.1)". The record is from RNAcentral. Lineage: Eukaryota; Metazoa; Chordata; Aves; Casuariiformes; Dromaiidae.